RNAcentral lists this ribosomal RNA (384 nucleotides) under Triticum aestivum (bread wheat). RNAcentral's name for it is "partial small subunit ribosomal RNA". Lineage: Eukaryota; Viridiplantae; Streptophyta; Magnoliopsida; Poales; Poaceae. The record is from RNAcentral.
AUGAAAGAUGUCUUCCCAUCUCAGGUGAUGAAGAUGGCGUACCUUUAUUUUUUGACACAAGUACUGAUCGGUGUUGGAUUUGGGCUUUAUAAACUUGGCUUUCCAGUAGUAGACAAGUGUGUGGAAAUUGGACUUCCAGAACUCAUCCUAAUGGUCGCAUUUUCUCAGGUACUUCAAGUCAAACUGUACAUGCAAUUGAUGGGGCUACAUGAUAGUCACUUUAAUAUAUCUUCUUGGAAGCCGCUUAGUGUUUCCAUGAAUAAUUGUCGCUGGUCUGUUGCACGCCUUCAUUGUUUGGUGGGCUACUUCCUGCUUGAUGUGGUUGAAGAAUUUUUAGAGACAUGGUUCAUCUUGCGUGCAGCUUUUAGUUUGAGUUUCUAUUGA